Molecule: long non-coding RNA, 907 nt
Organism: Peromyscus californicus insignis
Lineage: Eukaryota; Metazoa; Chordata; Mammalia; Rodentia; Cricetidae
Exons: 3
Source: RefSeq, a predicted model, not a curated record
GUAGAAGUGUGGUGCUCUGUAGCAGGGUUAGAGUCCUUGCUGAGAGCUCAGGAGAAGCAGUUGGUGGGAAGUAGAGUCCCGGUGCAGUGGAGAGCACUGAAUUUUGGAGAGGCUAGUACCAUGGAUCACCAAGGACGGCAGCAUGUGUAAAGUGAAGCUAUCUUGAGCCUGUGAAAAAAAGCUGUAUGAGCCAAGAAUGGCAGAAUGGGACAAGCACAGCUGUCCCAGCCCCUUGGAGCCCAGAGGAUCGUGAGUGGGUCCCAGAUUCCAAGCACUGGAACUUUACGUACCAUUCAAUACAAGAUACUGAAAAUUGUUAAUGGAAAUGUACGUGGAAAGUAAGGGCACAAAUAACCCAGGGAGAGCAUGCAGAUGCCUGGCACCUGUGCAUUGUAGCAGCAAUUGACUCUCUUCAGAUAUCAGACAUCCAAUGGGACCAGCUGCUUCCUUUCCCGCCACAUGUCUUCCCUGCUGUGAUGAACUGCACCCUUGAGCUGGGAGCCAAGAGAAACCCCGCCUUCCUACAACUGCUGUUGUCGAGUUUGGUUUCCACAUCAACAAGGCCAACCACUGCUACAAGGAGGAAAGAAAUUCUGGUAGAUGAAAGUGCUGAGCAAGUUCAUGAUGAAUUGUCAGAGCCAUCAUGCUUAACAUAUUUAGAGAGAGCCCAACCUGAUUUUCAAGAAUAAUGUUAUUUUAGAAUAUAUCUCAAACAAUCAUAUUCUGUAUAAGUAGAGAGAGACUGUAUAUUUACCUUUUCAAGGGGAUUCCUGUAUCUAUUAUCUUGAUGUGGUGACAGUUUCAGUUGUAAGCAUGCAAUGUCUUGUUCUAAUUAUGCUUCCACCGUCAAAUAAAAUAUAAGGCAUAUUUGCUUGUACCAAGAAUGUUCUAAAGGGUAGGGUAUUGC